RNAcentral lists this ribosomal RNA (327 nucleotides) under uncultured eukaryote. RNAcentral describes it as "partial 18S ribosomal RNA". It matches the Rfam family "Eukaryotic small subunit ribosomal RNA", at positions 1470 to 1796 of the family's 1831-position model. The record is from RNAcentral.
CCCUUAGAUGUCCUGGGCCGCACGCGCGUUACACUGAUGCAUUCAACGAGCAUAUAACCUUGGCCGAGAGGCCUGGGUAAUCUUGUUAACAUGCAUCGUGAUAGGGAUAGAUUAUUGCAAUUAUUAAUCUUGAACGAGGAAUUCCUAGUAAUCGCAGUUCAUCAAACUGCAAUGAUUACGUCCCUGCCCUUUGUACACACCGCCCGUCGCACCUACCGAUUGAAUGGUCCGGUGAGGACUCGGGAUUGUGGUUUAGCCCCUUCAUUGGGGCCUGACUGCGAGAACUUGUCCGAACCUUAUCAUUUAGAGGAAGGUGAAGUCGUAACA